GUCCAAUGCAAAUCUUCGGGGCCCAGCAGGGAAACUCCCAGCAAGAACUACAAUUCACACCUCGGGGGGCAAAAUGCCAUUUUGCAUGGUAUUCCAGGACUUCCAAACAUGAAAUGAUAUACAUGUAUCAGGGCACAAAAUCUUAUUCUCUGCAUGUUUUUCAGUACCUGUCCAUGUCAGCCUCCACAACUGAUCAAAUUUGGUACUGCAGCCCUCAGCUGUUCAGCAAGCGCAACCAGAUUUUCACCUGCCUCUAUCCAGUAUCUCAAGAUGCCCAAAUUGAAAUGGCAAGUGUCAUGGCAAGGAGGUCCCUUAAUGUCUAAUCCUCAGGAGCAUUGAUCUGUGCUCCUCCUUUGACAUACACCAGGUUCCAGAAUUGUAUUUCUGAAGACCUGUACGCUGCUCCCACUAAAGUAGCGAACUUGCAUCCCAAGCUAGCAAAGCCUUCCAAAACUGCUUUAUUUCCAGAAUAUUCAUAUGUGUGGGAUUCUUCUGCACAGACUGAUUUUUAAAAGACCACUUUUUGACAGAAGUGGCUACAUUCUUCUUAUUUAUGUGCAAAGAUCCUCUGCAUAGAAAGAUUCAUUUGUUCUUCUAAACCAUCUAAGUAAGAUGUGGGAACAAAAUGCAUACAUUCAAUCCUUCUCAAGUUUAAUUCAUCUACUCAUUAUUUCAAAGAUUUUCGCAAGCUGCUGACACAGAAAGGCAGAGAACUUUAGUUUAGUACCAUUUCAUUUUCAAGAAGCAUUAUGUGAACAUUACCUGUGCAAUAAACUGUUGAUUUGCAUGUCA
This 792-nucleotide long non-coding RNA is filed under the name Phasianus colchicus (ring-necked pheasant). RNAcentral's name for it is "lncRNA (ENSPCLG00000015498.1)". The record is from RNAcentral. Lineage: Eukaryota; Metazoa; Chordata; Aves; Galliformes; Phasianidae.